UACGGAGGGUGCGAGCGUUGUUCGGAAUCAUUGGGCGUAAAGCGCGUGUAGGCGGCUUGGUAAGUCGGGUGUGAAAUCCCGGGGCCCAACCCCGGAACUGCAUUCGAAACUACCUCGCUAGAGUCCCGGAGAGGAAGGCGGAAUUCCCGGUGUAGAGGUGAAAUUAGUAGAUAUCGGGAGGAACACCAGCGGCGAAGGCGGCCUUCUGGACGGUGACUGACGCUGAGACGCGAAAGCGUGGGGAGCAAACAGG
Molecule: ribosomal RNA, 253 nt
Filed under: uncultured bacterium
Lineage: Bacteria
Description: partial 16S ribosomal RNA
Rfam family: Bacterial small subunit ribosomal RNA
Source: RNAcentral